Molecule: transfer RNA, 75 nt
Filed under: Acidobacteriota bacterium
Lineage: Bacteria; Pseudomonadati; Acidobacteriota
Also listed under: 2 other names
Description: tRNA-Gly
Rfam family: tRNA
About the family: Transfer RNA (tRNA) molecules are approximately 80 nucleotides in length.
Source: RNAcentral
GCGGGCGUAACUCAAUGGUAGAGUGUCGGCUUCCCAAGCCGGAUGUUGCGGGUUCGAUCCCCGUCGCCCGCUCCA